Long non-coding RNA from Catharus ustulatus (Swainson's thrush), 628 nucleotides. RefSeq lists it as uncharacterized. The transcript has 3 exons. The record is from RefSeq and is a predicted model, not a curated record. NCBI's taxonomy places the organism in Eukaryota, Metazoa, Chordata, Aves, Passeriformes, Turdidae.
CUGCUAAAUCUUGUUGCCAAGGCAAUGCAACACAAGGAAAGAGCCUAGAGAAAUGAAUCCUGCUGACAGCUCAUGCCAGCAGGCCUGGGCUGAUUAAAAGGGAACUUUUAAAAGUGAUGUUAACUUAAAAAGCACAGCAGCAGAAAGGAAAGAGGAGAGGAUUCAGUGGAGGAGCAAUGGGUUAAUGUCAAGCAACAGCCUUUUAAAAAUGCUUCCUGGCGAAAGGUUAGCUGGAAAACAGAUGAAUCUGCAAGCUGAUUAUUCUCUCCUGUCUAUGAUUCACUGUUAAUGCUGACAGUAUACACUGAAUUGAAGGAAGAAUAUUACCCCAAGGACCACAGAGUCAAAAUAAAUGAUCAGCUCCGAAGAAGUCAGCCUGAAUCAUCAGUACUUGUCAGCUUCAUAAUCUUUCCAAGACUAAAGUAAAACUCAUCUACAUGCCCAGGAGAAGAAAACUCACCCUACAAUAAACCUGAAAGGCAUCUGCUGGGAUAAGCAACUGCUGCCUCUGAAAUUCAAAUACCAGAGUGUGUGAUCAAUGUCACGCAGCACCUCGGCACUCAAAUCAACCUCCUGAGACAUCAAGUUUGUCCCCUGCUGCUGCAGACAAUGUGUUGUAUAAUGACUU